Molecule: unclassified non-coding RNA, 213 nt
Filed under: plant metagenome
Description: partial contains small subunit ribosomal RNA, internal transcribed spacer 1, and 5.8S ribosomal RNA
Source: RNAcentral
UUUCCGUAGGUGAACCUGCGGAAGGAUCAUUAAAAAUGAAGCCGGGAAACCGGUCCUUCUCACCCUUGAUUAUCUCAAUUUGUUGCUUUGGUGGGCCGCGCAAGCACCGGCUUCGGCCGGAUCGUGCCCGCCAGAGGACCACAACUCUGUAUUAUAUGUCGUCUGAGUACUAUAAAAUAGUUAAAACUUUCAACAACGGAUCUCUUGGUUCUG